AUGGACAGCGAGCCCUUGGGCCGUGUCUCCUUUGAGCCGUUUGCAAACAAGAUUCCAAAGAUAGCAGAAAACUUUCGUGCUCUGAGCACCGGACAGAAAGGUUUUGGUUGUAAGGGUUCCUGCUUUCACAGAAGUAUUCCAGGGUUUACGUGUCAGGGCAGUGACUUCACAUGCCAUAAUGGCACUGAUGGCAAGUCCAUCUACGAGGAGAAAUUUGAUGAUGAGGACGUCAUCCUAAAGCAUACAGGUCCCGGCAUCUUGUCCCUGGCAAAUGCUGGACCCAACACAAACGGUUCCCAGUUUUUCAUCUGCACUGCCAAGACUGAGUGGAUGGCAAGCAUGUGGUCUUUGGCACGGUGAAAGGAGGCAUGAAUAUAGCGGAGGCCAUGGAGCACUUUGGGUCCAGAAAUGGCGAGACCAGCAAGACCAGCACUGCUGACUGUGGACAGUGCUAACAGGUUUGACUUGUGUUUAUCUUAGCCACCAGACCGCUCCUUCUGUAGCUCAGGAGAGCACCCCUCUACCCCAUUUGCUCGCAGUAUCCUAGAAUCUUUGUGCUCUCGCUGCAGUUCCCUUUGGGUUCCAUGUUUUCCUUGUUCCCUUCCAUGCCUAGCUGGAUUGCAGAGUUAAGUUUAUGAUUAUGAAAUAAAGACUAAAU
Molecule: RNA transcript, 658 nt
Organism: Sapajus apella (tufted capuchin)
Lineage: Eukaryota; Metazoa; Chordata; Mammalia; Primates; Cebidae
Gene name: peptidyl-prolyl cis-trans isomerase A pseudogene
Exons: 1
Source: RefSeq, a predicted model, not a curated record